GAUGAACGCUGGCGGCGUGCCUAAUACAUGCAAGUCGAGCGAACAGACGAGGAGCUUGCUCCUCUGACGUUAGCGGCGGACGGGUGAGUAACACGUGGAUAACCUACCUAUAAGACUGGGAUAACUUCGGGAAACCGGAGCUAAUACCGGAUAAUAUAUUGAACCGCAUGGUUCAAUAGUGAAAGACGGUUUUGCUGUCACUUAUAGAUGGAUCCGCGCCGCAUUAGCUAGUUGGUAAGGUAACGGCUUACCAAGGCAACGAUGCGUAGCCGAUCUGAGAGGGUGAUCGGCCACACUGGAACUGAGACACGGUCCAGACUCCUACGGGAGGCAGCAGUAGGGAAUCUUCCGCAAUGGGCGAAAGCCUGACGGAGCAACGCCGCGUGAGUGAUGAAGGUCUUCGGAUCGUAAAGCUCUGUUAUUAGGGAAGAACAAAUGUGUAAGUAACUAUGCACGUCUUGACGGUACCUAAUCAGAAAGCCACGGCUAACUACGUG
Molecule: ribosomal RNA, 497 nt
Filed under: uncultured bacterium
Lineage: Bacteria
Description: partial 16S ribosomal RNA
Rfam family: Bacterial small subunit ribosomal RNA
Source: RNAcentral